Molecule: ribosomal RNA, 505 nt
Filed under: uncultured bacterium
Lineage: Bacteria
Description: partial 16S ribosomal RNA
Rfam family: Bacterial small subunit ribosomal RNA
Source: RNAcentral
GACGAACGCUGGCGGCGUGCCUAAUACAUGCAAGUAGAACGCACAGUUUAUACCGUAGCUUGCUACACCAUAGACUGUGAGUUGCGAACGGGUGAGUAACGCGUAGGUAACCUGCCUGGUAGCGGGGGAUAACUAUUGGAAACGAUAGCUAAUACCGCAUAAUAUUGAUUAUUGCAUGAUAAUUGAUUGAAAGAUGCUAUUGCAUCACUACCAGAUGGACCUGCGUUGUAUUAGCUAGUAGGUGAGGUAACGGCUCACCUAGGCGACGAUACAUAGCCGACCUGAGAGGGUGAUCGGCCACACUGGGACUGAGACACGGCCCAUACGACUACGGGAGGCAGCAGUAGGGAAUCUUCGGCAAUGGACGAAAGUCUGACCGAGCAACGCCGCGUGAGUGAAGAAGGUUUUCGGAUCGUAAAGCUCUGUUGUAAGAGAAGAACGGGUGUGAGAGUGGAAAGUUCACACUGUGACGGUAUCUUACCAGAAAGGGACGGCUAACUACGUG